Molecule: ribosomal RNA, 588 nt
Filed under: uncultured bacterium
Lineage: Bacteria
Description: partial 16S ribosomal RNA
Rfam family: Bacterial small subunit ribosomal RNA
Source: RNAcentral
UGGGGAAUUUUGGACAAUGGGCGAAAGCCUGAUCCAGCAAUGCCGCGUGUGUGAAGAAGGCCUUCGGGUUGUAAAGCACUUUUGUCCGGAAAGAAAUCCUUGGCUCUAAUACAGUCGGGGGAUGACGGUACCGGAAGAAUAAGCACCGGCUAACUACGUGCCAGCAGCCGCGGUAAUACGUAGGGUGCAAGCGUUAAUCGGAAUUACUGGGCGUAAAGCGUGCGCAGGCGGUUUGCUAAGACCGAUGUGAAAUCCCCGGGCUCAACCUGGGAACUGCAUUGGUGACUGGCAGGCUAGAGUAUGGCAGAGGGGGGUAGAAUUCCACGUGUAGCAGUGAAAUGCGUAGAGAUGUGGAGGAAUACCGAUGGCGAAGGCAGCCCCCUGGGCCAAAUACUGACGCUCAUGCACGAAAGCGUGGGGGAGCAAACAGGAUUAGAUACCCUGGUAGUCCACGCCCUAAAACGAUGUCAACUAGUUGUUGGGGAUUCAUUUCCUUAGUAACGUAGCUAACGCGCGAAGUUGACCGCCUGGGGAGUACGGUCGCAAGAUUAAAACUCAAAUGAAUUGACGGGGUCAUAGCUGUUUCCU